Long non-coding RNA from Lontra canadensis (Northern American river otter), 1139 nucleotides. RefSeq lists it as uncharacterized. The transcript has 2 exons. The record is from RefSeq and is a predicted model, not a curated record. NCBI's taxonomy places the organism in Eukaryota, Metazoa, Chordata, Mammalia, Carnivora, Mustelidae.
CUGAGUAGGGGGCCCUAUGCAAGGCUCAGUCCCCAGGACCCUGGGAUCAUGACCUGAGCCAAAGGCAGAUCCUCAUUCGACACAGCAACCCAGGUGCUCCCUAUGUGGACAUUUGUAAGAAUGAUGUAGUAAGAGCUCAUUUAUCUGUUCAUUUUAUCAUUAACUUGGCAAACUUUUAGGACACCCACUUUACCCAAUAUAUUAAUUUUCUAUGGCUGUGUAACAAAUCACCACAAACAAACUGAGUGUCUUAAAACAACCCCUCAGAGUUCUGAUGCUUAGAAAUCCAGCAUGAUGUGUCUGGGUUCUCUGCCCACCCUGAAAUCAAGGUGUUGGCUGGUCGUGUUGACAUCUGGAUUCAGAGUCCUAAACACUGUACUCCUGUGAUUGACAGAAUUCAGUCUGUCAUGGUUAUAGGACUUGAGUCCAUAAUUCCUUGCUUUCUGUCAACUUGGGCCCACUGUAUCAUCUAGUGGCAGUCCUGCAUUCCUAGUCAUGAGGCCUCUUCCAUUUUCAAGCCAACAGCAGUAUGUGGAACCUUCCUAUUCUUGAAAUCCCUCUGAUACUUUUUUUUGCUACCUACCUGAGGAAACUCUGAUUUUAAAUAAGGACUUCCGUGAGUAAAUUAGGCCCACCCAGGUAGCCUCUGUAUUUUAAGGUUAGCUGAGUUGGGACUAUAAUUAUAUCUUCAAACUCCUUUAACCUAGUACUUAAAUUAGUGUUUGAUUGAACAACCAUAGGGCAGAAAUCUUAGAGGAGCCAUCUUUAGAAUUCGGCCUAUCAUACCCAACUUCCUAAUUUACCUCAUUGCCAAACAGGACAAACUUUGGACAGAACUUACCAUCUGUGACACUUCUGUGAAUCCUAAAAUAAAGACCACUAAAUGAGUGUCUAUUAAACAAAAAUGAUGACAGAUUCAUCUCCCAGUGGAAAUUACACAUCUUUCGAACUCUGGCCAAUAUUCCUCACCCUCAACACUCCUGGCUUUGUUAAAAAUAUCAUUUACCCUUUGAGGUACUUGUGUGGUCGGUACUGAGACCAAAUUAAUGAGGAACUUCAAAGGUUCGAGCAAGGAGAGAUGUGAGUGGUGGUAAACUGCACGGAAAUUAUCUCCAAAAUAAAACUUUGUCUGUGUAUCU